GGUGUAAAUCCUUUCGGCAGGGACGAAACCCGAGCAAUCGGGCCGACGGUACCUGAAGAAGAAGCCCGGCUAACUCCGUGC
This 81-nucleotide ribosomal RNA is filed under the name uncultured bacterium. Its description in RNAcentral is "partial 16S ribosomal RNA". The record is from RNAcentral.